Molecule: unclassified non-coding RNA, 418 nt
Filed under: soil metagenome
Description: partial contains 5.8S ribosomal RNA, internal transcribed spacer 2, and large subunit ribosomal RNA
Rfam family: 5.8S ribosomal RNA (bases 1-120)
Source: RNAcentral
GAUGAAGAACGUAGCGAAAUGCGAUAAGUAAUGUGAAUUGCAGAAUUCAGUGAAUCAUCGAAUCUUUGAACGCAUCUUGCGCUCCUUGGUAUCCCUUGGAGCAUGCCUGUUUGAGUAUCAUGAGCAAAUCUCAAAGUCAAUUCCUUUUGUUGAUUCAAUUGGUUUUGCUUUGGACUUGGAGGCCUUGCAGAUUUCACAGUCUGCUCCUCUUAAAUGCAUUAGCUGGAUCUCAGUAAUUAUGCUUGGUUCCACUCGGCGUGAUAAGUAUCACUCGCUGAGGACACUGUUAAAAAGGUGGCCAGGAAAAUACUGAUUGAACCGCUUCUAACGGUCUAUUAAGUUAGACAAUUACCCUUAAGUUUGAUCUCAAAUCAGGUAGGACUACCCGCUGAACUUAAGCAUAUCAAUAAGCGGAGGA